GUGAGCUGAGAGACUAUAGGCGCUUUCGCAUCGCGUAGUUCAAGGAACUAGCCAGCAGGGUCGUUCCUAGAGAACCAAUUUCUCCAUCGGGCCGUUUUCCUGGUUGCAUUCGCACCAGCAGCAGGAUUGGCGGCAUUAACAAACAUCAACAACCGGUGAAUGUUCGGAGCUGUUUUUUUGUUGCGUGCUGUGGGUUUCGUGACAACGGAGAUGGAAUAGCCUAUAAACGCACAAUUUAUGCGAUUGAAAGAACAUGAAAAUCUACUAAAUCUCCUAUGACAAUUUGUAGUGUUAUCAUCGAGGCUGAGAAAAGAACACAACGCUGCAGACAACAGAAUGCCCUGCAAAUCAGGAAAUAUCAUGCGAAAACCUGCGCUCGUCCAAUAGAUACAUAUAUACACUGUGCCACUGGAGAUCCCGUGCUCUGAAAAGUGCGAACAAGGAUGGUACUAUCAGGUGGGAACGUUUGAUGUUCUGAAUUUAAUUGUUAUAGGCUCUAGUUAUCAUUUAAAACAGCCAAAUGUUUAGUAACUCCUCGGUUUGCUGUUGUCUGUAUAGAAUGGGACGUUUAUUGUCGACUCAACUCCGAAUGCCGGUGGAAGGAGGUUACCGGUUGUAGUGGAUGUAACGCCUCAGAAUCUGACAAUCCGUGUCUGCGAGAAUCUGCAGUGGCAACUUGACUGUGGCAAGGUAGUAAUGAGUGUUGGUUUCAUUUACACACAAUAAAUAAGCCUGUCU
This 738-nucleotide long non-coding RNA is filed under the name Sinocyclocheilus anshuiensis. RNAcentral describes it as "lncRNA (ENSSANG00000044821.1)". The record is from RNAcentral. Lineage: Eukaryota; Metazoa; Chordata; Actinopteri; Cypriniformes; Cyprinidae.